Molecule: ribosomal RNA, 253 nt
Filed under: uncultured bacterium
Lineage: Bacteria
Description: partial 16S ribosomal RNA
Rfam family: Bacterial small subunit ribosomal RNA
Source: RNAcentral
UACGUAGGGGGCAAGCGUUGUCCGGAAUCAUUGGGCGUAAAGAGCGUGUAGGCGGCUCGGUAAGUCCGCUGUGAAAGUCCAGGGCUCAACCCUGGAAUGCCGGUGGAAACUGUCGAGCUAGAGUCCGGAAGAGGCGAGUGGAAUUCCUGGUGUAGCGGUGAAAUGCGCAGAUAUCAGGAGGAACACCAAUGGCGAAGGCGGCGAGCUGGCCUGUACCUGACGCUGAGGCGCGACAGCGUGGGGAGCAAACAGG